This 1397-nucleotide ribosomal RNA is filed under the name uncultured bacterium. RNAcentral describes it as "16S ribosomal RNA". It matches the Rfam family "Bacterial small subunit ribosomal RNA". The record is from RNAcentral.
UAGAGUUUGAUCCUGGCUCAGGAUGAACGCUAGCUACAGGCUUAACACAUGCAAGUCGAGGGGCAGCAUGGUCUUAGCUUGCUAAGGCCGAUGGCGACCGGCGCACGGGUGAGUAACACGUAUCCAACCUGCCGUCUACUCUUGGACAGCCUUCUGAAAGGAAGAUUAAUACAAGAUGGCAUCAUGAGUCCGCAUGUUCACAUGAUUAAAGGUAUUCCGGUAGACGAUGGGGAUGCGUUCCAUUAGAUAGUAGGCGGGGUAACGGCCCACCUAGUCUUCGAUGGAUAGGGGUUCUGAGAGGAAGGUCCCCCACAUUGGAACUGAGACACGGUCCAAACUCCUACGGGAGGCAGCAGUGAGGAAUAUUGGUCAAUGGGCGAGAGCCUGAACCAGCCAAGUAGCGUGAAGGAUGACUGCCCUAUGGGUUGUAAACUUCUUUUAUAAAGGAAUAAAGUCGGGUAUGCAUACCCGUUUGCAUGUACUUUAUGAAUAAGGAUCGGCUAACUCCGUGCCAGCAGCCGCGGUAAUACGGAGGAUCCGAGCGUUAUCUGGAUUUAUUGGGUUUAAAGGGAGCGUAGAUGGAUGUUUAAGUCAGUUGUGAAAGUUUGCGGCUCAACCGUAAAAUUGCAGUUGAUACUGGAUAUCUUGAGUGCAGUUGAGGCAGGCGGAAUUCAUGGUGUAGCGGUGAAAUGCUUAGAUAUCACGAAGAACUCCGAUUGCGAAGGCAGCCUGCUAAGCUGCAACUGACAUUGAGGCUCGAAAGUGUGGGUAUCAAACAGGAUUAGAUACCCUGGUAGUCCACACGGUAAACGAUGAAUACUCGCUGUUUGCGAUAUACAGCAAGCGGCCAAGCGAAAGCGUUAAGUAUUCCACCUGGGGAGUACGCCGGCAACGGUGAAACUCAAAGGAAUUGACGGGGGCCCGCACAAGCGGAGGAACAUGUGGUUUAAUUCGAUGAUACGCGAGGAACCUUACCCGGGCUUAAAUUGCAGAUGAAUUACGGUGAAAGCCGUAAGCCGCAAGGCAUCUGUGAAGGUGCUGCAUGGUUGUCGUCAGCUCGUGCCGUGAGGUGUCGGCUUAAGUGCCAUAACGAGCGCAACCCUUGUUGUCAGUUACUAACAGGUUCUGCUGAGGACUCUGACAAGACUGCCAUCGUAAGAUGUGAGGAAGGUGGGGAUGACGUCAAAUCAGCACGGCCCUUACGUCCGGGGCUACACACGUGUUACAAUGGGGGGUACAGAGGGCCGCUACCACGCGAGUGGAUGCCAAUCCCCAAAACCUCUCUCAGUUCGGACUGGAGUCUGCAACCCGACUCCACGAAGCUGGAUUCGCUAGUAAUCGCGCAUCAGCCACGGCGCGGUGAAUACGUUCCCGGGCCUUGCACUCACCGCCCGUCA